This 254-nucleotide ribosomal RNA is filed under the name uncultured bacterium. RNAcentral describes it as "partial 16S ribosomal RNA". It matches the Rfam family "Bacterial small subunit ribosomal RNA", at positions 524 to 777 of the family's 1533-position model. The record is from RNAcentral.
UACGUAGGGUGCGAGCGUUGUCCGGAAUUAUUGGGCGUAAAGGGCUCGUAGGUGGUUUGUCGCGUUGUUCGUGAAAACUCACAGCUUAACUGUGGGCGUGCGGGCGAUACGGGCAGACUGGAGUACUGCAGGGGAGACUGGAAUUCCUGGUGUAGCGGUGGAAUGCGCAGAUAUCAGGAGGAACACCGGUGGCGAAGGCGGGUCUCUGGGCAGUAACUGACGCUGAGGAGCGAAAGCGUGGGGAGCGAACAGGA